Molecule: long non-coding RNA, 1788 nt
Organism: Austrofundulus limnaeus
Lineage: Eukaryota; Metazoa; Chordata; Actinopteri; Cyprinodontiformes; Rivulidae
Exons: 2
Source: RefSeq, a predicted model, not a curated record
CACACACACACACACACACACACACACACACACACACACACACACACACACACACAAUGUCGCCACCAUCAACGCCAUCUUUACACUUGAAAUUCACCGUGAGGAGGAGGAGCUUUCAUCAUCAGGGAGGCGGAGUCAGUGGCACUAUGGACCUCACCACUGCUCCGCCUUCCUGGGCGGAGCCUAUUUUUACGGACAAUAAAGAUGUGUCGUGUCGGGAGCCAUCUUUGAUCUUUGUCCGUCCAUCUCCCCGCUGUCCCAACGUGCUUCGAAGGUUCCUGCUCUGUGGAUGAGGUGGGAGGAGCCAACGCCUCAUCACUUCCUGUGUGGAUGAGGUGGGAGGAGCCAACGCCUCAUCACUUCCUGUGUGGAUGAGGUGGGAGGAGCCAGCACCUCGUCACUUCCUGGUUGCUCCUCCAGACUCUGGCUGUGUUUUUAUCAGGACCCACCGUGUAGCUCCCUGAACAGACGAGCUGAACCAGAACCCGAACCAGAACCCCGUUCAGUUUUUCAGGUCUGUCCCUCAGAAAAACCCAGAAAACCAACAGAAACAGAAAAGAUUUUUAUGAAUUAACAUAUUUUUCCAGACUCGGAUGCUUUCAUAGAACUUUCGCAUGUUUUCUAUAACUGCCAGUGAAGCUCUGCAGGAACCGUCCUGGUAGGUUCUACCUCCUGGACCAGGUUCUGAGACCCAGCAGGAACCCAGGCCACGUCUCCUGAAGAGGACAACCAGUGAGGGACUGGAACCUGUGACCCGUCUGCAGCUGAGAGUUGUAUAUUUUCAUAUCCUCAGAACAAGAAACUGACUUUUUGCCAAACGUUUUCGUUCGUUUUAUCUGGCCAACUAAGCCCCGCCCCCUCGCCCCGCCCCCCAGACGGGACAGAACUCAUGUAAAUAUUCAGGAAGGACUGGUUUUUGCUACAUUCCCUCUGAGUGAUGUGACCCGACUCACAUCAGAACCUGCAGGUCCACAUCGUGUUGGUUUCUGACAGGAAGCAGUUUGAUCCUUGUUCCUGCUCACGUCAGCCCCGAGGAACAAACAAACAAACAAAACAAAACUGAAAACAAAUCAAGUUUCAUUUAGAUUUGAUUUGUUUUUAUAAACGUCUCAAAGAACUUCAGAAUCUAAAUCAUUUUCAGGGUUUUAAACCUUUAAAUGUUGCAAAUAUUUCAUUAAAUAGGUUUUGUGUAAAGUGGGCGGGGCUUUUCUUCAGAGAGAAGGUCAGAGGUCACAGGAGGGGGGAGGACUUCCUGCAGACAGAUGAGGGGUCCAGAGAGGUGAUGAUCUGUGAUCGCCACGAAGCCCCGCCCCUAAAAUAUUACAAAUAGUGAAAUACGUGAAAGAAAUCUGAAGUUCUUUAAAACUUUUAUGGAAAUAAGUCUUAAUUAUUUUUGGUCCAGAGAAUAAAACUGUGGAUUAAAUAAAAUAUAAUCUGUAGAUUAUCACCACAGGAGCAGCAGGUUUAUUUAUUUCAGACCUGCAGGCGUCCGGCAGGUAGGACGCUUCCUAUUUAUUCUGCGCCGUGACGGCUUCCUGUCAGGCCCGUGGACUGAGGCGGGUCGUUUCGUACCUGUGUGGUGUAAAUAUCUGUGUAUAUAUUUGUUUUCUCUCUUUUGGUUCCGUCUCAGUCUGGUUCCUCUCAGAUGGCUGCUGUUGCCUUCAUCUUAACGUGUGUUUGUGCUCCUUUAUUUUAUUUUGUUGUAUUUUAUUUUGUUUCCACACAAAGUGCACUGUAAUCUACAAACUGUUUUUAAUGCAUAAUAUUUGAGUCGUCACUUUAAUCAAA